Molecule: ribosomal RNA, 402 nt
Filed under: uncultured bacterium
Lineage: Bacteria
Description: bacterial SSU rRNA
Rfam family: Bacterial small subunit ribosomal RNA
Source: RNAcentral
UAGGGAAUAUUGGUAAUGUGCGAAAGCGCGAACCAGCAACGCCGCGUGCACGAUGAAGGCCUUCGGGUUGUAAAGUGCUUUUAGAGAGGAUGAGGAAGGACAGUACUUUCUGAAUAAGCCUCGGCUAACUACGUGCCAGCAGCCGCGGUAAUACGUAGGGUGCGAGCGUUAAUCGGAAUUAUUGGGCGUAAAGCGUGCGCAGGCGGCGCCAUAAGACAGCUGUGAAAUCCCCGGGCUUAACCUGGGAACUGCGGUUGUGACUGUGGUGCUAGAGGACGGCAGAGGGAGGUGGAAUUCCGGGUGUAGCAGUGAAAUGCGUAGAGAUCAGGAGGAACACCGAUGGCGAAGGCAGCCUCCUGGGCUGAUACUGACGCUCAUGCACGAAAGCGUGGGGAGCAAACA